Molecule: small nuclear RNA, 154 nt
Organism: Equus asinus (donkey)
Lineage: Eukaryota; Metazoa; Chordata; Mammalia; Perissodactyla; Equidae
Gene: U1
Rfam family: U1 spliceosomal RNA
About the family: U1 is a small nuclear RNA (snRNA) component of the spliceosome (involved in pre-mRNA splicing). Its 5' end forms complementary base pairs with the 5' splice junction, thus defining the 5' donor site of an intron.
Source: Ensembl
AUACUUACCUGUCAGGGGAGAUACCAUGAUGGUUUUCCCAGGGCAAGUUUCAUCCAUCCAAGUUGGAAACACUGACCUCUGCGAUUUACCCAACUGUGGGAAACUUGACUGCAUAAUUGGUGAUAGUGGGGGACUGUGUUCUCACUUUCCCCUG